RNAcentral lists this ribosomal RNA (745 nucleotides) under uncultured archaeon. RNAcentral's name for it is "bacterial SSU rRNA". It matches the Rfam family "Archaeal small subunit ribosomal RNA", at positions 70 to 814 of the family's 1478-position model. The record is from RNAcentral.
UCAGACCCGUGGCAAAUAGCUCAGUAGCACGUGGCCAAUCUACCCUCCGGAUCAGCACACCCUCGGGAAACUGAGGCCAAUUCUGUAUACGGCUCCCGACCUGGAAUGGUGGGAGCUCGAAACGCUCCGGCGCCGGAGGAUGAGGCUGCGGCCGAUUAGGUUGACGGUGGGGUAAUGGCCCACCGUGCCGAUAAUCGGUCUGGGUCAUGAGAGUGAGAACCCAGAGACGGAAUCUGAGACAAGAUUCCGGGCCCUACGGGGCGCAGCAGGCGCGAAACCUUUACACUGCACGCACGUGCGAUAAGGGGACUCCGAGUGCGAGGGCAUAUCGUCCUCGCUUUCGUGUACCGUAGGGUGGUACACCAACAAGGGCUGGGCAAGACCGGUGCCAGCCGCCGCGGUAAUACCGGCAGCCCGAGUGAUGGCCGAUCUUAUUGGGCCUAAAGCGUCCGUAGCUGGCUGCGCAAGUCCGUCGGGAAAUCCACUCGCCCAACGAGUGGGCGUCCGACGGAAACUGCACAGCUUGGGACCGGAAGGCUCGAAGGGUACGUUCGGGGUAGGAGUGAAAUCCCAUAAUCCCGCACGGACCACCGAUGGCGAAAGCACUUCGAGAAAACGGAUCCGACAGUGAGGGACGAAAGCCAGGGUCUCCAACCGGAUUAGAUACCCGGGUAGUCCUGGCCGUAAACAAUGUUCGCUAGGUAUGACACAGACUACGCGUCUCUGUUGUGCCGUAGGGAAGCCG